RNAcentral lists this long non-coding RNA (3399 nucleotides) under Sus scrofa (pig). RNAcentral's name for it is "lncRNA (ENSSSCG00065044864.1)". The record is from RNAcentral. Lineage: Eukaryota; Metazoa; Chordata; Mammalia; Artiodactyla; Suidae.
GUUUAUUACAGGAUAUUGAGUAUAGUUCCCUGUGCUAUACAGUAGGACUCUGUUGUGUAUCCAUGUUAUAUAUUAUCUCAAACUCCUAAUAUCUCCCUCCCUCAUCCGCUUUCCCCUUUGGUUACUGUAAGUUUGUUUCCUGUCUGUGAAUUUGUUUCCGUUUGGUAAACAGGUUCAUUUGUGUCAUAUUUUAGAUCCUACAAAUAAGUGAUAUCAAUAGUAUUUGUCUUUCUCUUUCUGACUUACUCCACUUAGUAUGAUAAUGUCUAGGUCCACUCAUGUUGCUGCAAAUAUAUUAUGUGAUAUAUACAGAUAUAUUACAUCUUCUCUGUCCAGUCCCCUGUUGGUGGACAUGGAGGUUGCUUCCAUGUCUUGGCUAUUGUAAAUAGUGCUGCAGUGAACAUUGAGAUGCAUGUAUCAUUUCGAAUUAGCAUUUUCUGGAUAUAUGUCCAGGAGUGGGAUUGCUAGAUCCUAUGGCAAUGUUAUUUUUAGUGUUUUAAGGAACCCUCCGUCCUGUUCUCUAUAGUGGCCACACCAAUUUACAUUCCUGCCAGCAGUGUAGAAGGAUUGCCUUUUCUCCCCACCCUCUCCAGCAUUUGUUUGUAGACUUUUUAAUGACGUUAAGGAGAAUUUCUUUGGCCUGACCUCUCCAUCUUUCCCCUCCUCUAUCGCUGCACCUCUCAAGGCACUCAAGGCCCAACUUACCCCAGACUUCCUCCCUCCCGGAAGGGUCUCCUGACCUCUCCAGCCUCAUAGCCUGCUCGCACUGACCUCCAACCAGCCUGCUGCAAAGCUCUAGGCUCACAUUUAGGGCGUUCCUGCCUCCUGUCAGUCACCGAGGCUGGUAAGUGCUCCCACAUGCCCACUCCCUGAAAGACAGACGAGGCAACCCCAUUGAAAGGGAAGACACAGGCUCAGCGAGGUUCCGUAACGUCCCCCAGAUUACCUAGCUGGUUAGUGAAAUAACCGAGACUUAAAUUCAAGACUGACAACCGACCUCAAAACCUUUGCUCUAAACCAGGAGCCAGCAAACUAUACGGGCCUGAAGGCCAAAUUCUGCCACUAUCUGUUUUUCUACAGCUUGAGAGCUAAAAAUGGUUUUCACAUGACCGGGGGCGGGGGGGGGAUCAAAAGAAACAUAAGAUUUUGGCACAUGUGAAAAUCACAGGAAACUAACAUUUCAGUGUCCAUUAAUAACGUUUUAUUGGACAUGGUGGUGUGGUGGUUGUUUUCAUCAUGGCAUGCAGCAGCUUGAUAUGGGAUCUCAGUUCCCAGACCAGGGAUUGAACCCAGGCUGCAGCGGUAAAAGCACUGAGUCCUAACCACUAGACCACCAGGGAACUCCCUUAAUAAAGUUUUCUUGGCGCACACCAACACCCAUUCAUUUAGAUCUCUUUGAUGGCUUUUUCGUGAACUACAGUGGCAGAGCUGAGUCGUAGUGACAGGGACCAGCCUACAAGGGUUCCCAUUUGGCCCUUCACAGAAGACCUUUGCCGACCCCUGCUCCGAAAGGCACCAUUGAUGAGCCACAGCUCCACGGAGUUCUGAACACCCUGCCUGCCUUGACAGGCUGCUGUCUUUCUCUGGGUGCUGAGCCCACUGUAGGAUCUCAGAGGGAAAACAAAAUAGAUUUUAGCCCCCUUUGGACUUCCAGGUACUAAAGAUGUGCACCAGAAGUUCCCGUCGUGGCACAGCGGAAACGACCCCGACUAGGAACCGUGAGGUUGUGGGUUCGAUCCCUGGCCUUGUUCAAAAGGGCUUUGCUGUUCACUUUUUAGAAAUGAUAUGCUAUAGAGGGUUUAGCAAGCAGAGAGUUAUGUUGUCCAUAACUUAUUAUGGCUAAUGUUACUUCUACACUAAUCUUGCCUUUUUUUGUUGAGGGGAAGUGGGAGAGGAGAGGCCGAGAGGAGGAGAAAUACUCGAAGUGCUACAGCAGUAGUUUUCAGACUUCGCCUCCCGGGUCAGGGUUGGGGCCUGAGAAUCUGCAUUUCGCACAGAGUCCCAGGCGGCACCCCUCUGAGGACUCCUCCACUCUGUCAAAAGGCCUAGAAGACCGCUGGGCAGCUAUAGGAGGUGGGGCCAGGGCUUCCUUGCCUGAGGGGGGGGCAGGGGGAGCACGGAAAGUUCUUACUGUCCCAGCAGACCCGUUUCUUGAAGGAAGGGACAGGCUCCCAGGACCCCAGGGAUCAGCCUGGUUGGCCCCAGACCCAGAAUGUAUGGGGGUGAAGGCCUAGUCAAAGGCUCCCCCCACCCCACCCCCCUCAGAGAGGGGACUGAGGCUGGAAAGGCGGGGAAGGGCUGGGUUUCCCCAGAUCAAAGCUGGUUCCCCAGCCUUUGAUUCGCAAACAAGCAGACUCUUUAGAGGCUGGCCCGGAGUUUGGGGCAGGCUGGCCUUGGGGCCUGGGGUGAGUGGUCAGAGGCCCCCAGCCCGCUCUCUUUUUGCAUAACAGCUUGGCUGUCUAACAAAAGGACAGUCCUUGAAAGGCCGUAUGGGGCUGUUAAAAGCUUCCGGCAAUGGUUUAAUUGGGGGCGAUUAAAGUGUCCACCCCAGGAAGGCCUGCCCUUCAAAGGCCAACCAGGCCUGGCUCCCCUGCCCUCAGCACCUCUCCCCUCGGCCACGCCCCCGGUGGUAGCCCUGCCCCCAGCCUCUCCCCUCCGCCCCCUCAGCUACCCUGUGGCUCCCUGCCGACUGAGGAAGUCAGGGACAGGGACCCUUUGGCCAGCCUGUCUGGGGGGAUUCCGUCCUGGCCCCUGGACCAUCAGGACCAUUUGUUCGCACAGUUUGGUCUCGUGGCUGAGUCAGUGUGGGAGGUGGGGAAGGCUGAGUCGGAGACAGAAAGGGCCCCAGACUGGUCCACCCGGCUCACUCUGGCUGCCUCAGGACACCUAGCCUGCCUGGUCUCUGGCCCCUCCUUGAGCUCCCUUACCAGCCCCUCUCCCCAAGGCCCUGGCCCAUCUGCAACUUCAUGGUCACCGUUGGGGGACCCACACAUUAAUCUUCCAGACAUGAUCUGAGAGGUGCUGGGGACUCAGAGGUGACCAGACAGGAACCAUGACUCAUGAAGGUGCCGGAUAAGUGAACAGGCAGAAGCAACAGGGCGCGAUAUAGGUAAAAUGAGGUGAGCUAUAAGCAGGGCCCCUGCCUCUGGUGGGGCUCAGGGAGCAGAGGGGCAGGCAACAUGACCUUCUGGAAGCAACAGAGCCUACAGUGAGAACAGGGCCACUCAGUCUGGCCCAUUUGCCAACCAUGAUGGGAAGAGCUACACCACAGCUGGUUUCACUAAAAGACCUGACCCACCCAACCAGUUGGAGGAUCCUUGGAAGGGGAAGUGGGUAGAGGUUCCAUCAAGUCUCGAAAUCAUUGUUCUGUGGGUAUCUGGCUCAGACAACUCCCCAGAG